GCCCCGCCCAUCCCUGUUUGCUCUGCUCCCGGAUCCCAUGCAGGGGCUGCCCUGCCUCUGCCCGGCCCUGCCGCACUGCUGGCAGCGGGGGCCCUGCUCCAUGGCCGAGGGCUCGGGCACGCAGGCCCCGGGGAGAGAGCCCCCGCUCGGCGUCCAGGGCCUGCGAGCCCAGUACUUGCGGAGGCAGCAGAGGGCCCAGGCCCAGCUGGUGGUGCUCCCGAAAGGAGGGUACACGCCCGCUCCUGCUGAGUCCAUGGUCAGUCCUGUUUGGAUUAACAAGGAGAGAAGACGUUCACUGUCCCUGGAGGAGAUGGAUCCUGAGGCAGAGGGGAUGCGGGAGGAGGCUGACAGAGGCUGUCUUCAGGCUCUCGAGUCUCCGUGGAACACGCACCUAGAGAUGUACCGCUGGGUACAGACCUUCCACCAGGAAACCGGCCUUCAGGUAAAACACAAGGCCAAGCUCAUGGGGUCUGAGCAAAGGCUCCCUCAGGACGGAGACCCAGGCUUGUUUGAAGACAAUCAGAUGACUCAGCAAGGGACCGCCAUCCCCCGAACAGCCCGGCGAGAAUGUCAGGUGGGCCGUGCCCAAACAAAGGCAGUGGGAUCUGGCCUAAAUGUAGGCAUUCAGUGCCCUCCUUCCCUAAAGAACCCAGGCAGGUCUGGAAAAGCAGCUCACUAUCCAUUUCCCCAGAGGAAAACUCCUAGGAUCUCUCAAACUGCCAGGAAGCUGGGCUUGUACGGCCCAGCCUGAAGCUCUCUGCUCAGCCAAUGUCUCAGCGUUGAAAGCACCGGUGGCCUCAUCAAAGAACCGGGAGACGGAGCCACAACUCGGACCUCUAGCUAUGAGCCAAGACUGGACUAAGUUGCAGGGAUUUUGAACUUCAUGGUGGACAUAGGGUCUCGCCCUUUAAAAAAGAAGAGCCUGCCUAGGCCAGAUGGCCCAUGGUCCAGGAUGAAAGAGCGCCGUGUGAUCAAUGUGGCCUUAUUCUGCUUGUCUACGAAGACAUCGCUACGGAGCCCUAGAUGCCCACUCCUUGGGAAGGCCCAGUAGGACAUCUUCUCCAUCCCUAGAAAUGGAAACUUUGAAACAUGACACAGGCACCCUAGCCAAUGGAAUGCCUUAGCAGGGCCCCGGAAUCAAUGAGUGUUGGGCAUUCUUGUUGCCAGUAUCUUCUGAUGAUCUGGAGGUCCAUGUGCAUUUGGGCAAACUUCCCAAGACAGCUCUCCUGCAAGCGCUGCCAGCAGUUCGGCCUCAUGCCACCUGGAAGACCAAUGCUGGUUUCCCUAAACGCUGUAGCAGGAGAAGAAAGUGCACUACUAGUCCUGGACUGGCUUUCAAACCUCUUGUACUUACGUUUCAUUGCCCCAAGGAAGUUCUGUGGUCCUCUCUUCCCAUCAAGGGUAUGCAAUCAUCCCAUGUGCCUGGAAGGAGAGCAGGAAUAGGAAAGCCCAGGUGAGCAGCACUAAGGCUAGCACGGGUGGAUAGGGGCCAGGUUAGAGGACAGUAGGAGAUUCCAUCCUGAAUACAAUAAACAGCCAGUAAGAGAUCGACAUGUGAGACUAAAAUUAUUUAAUUUGCCUUUUAACCAGAUUACUCUGGUUGUUCUAUGGAGAAAGGGUUGAGGGUCACAGUAAGAGGCAACACCAGGGAGAAAAUGGCCAAGUACAGUGGGAAAGAUGCUGUUAGUUCAAGCUAGAGGAGGAGCCGCAGAGAUGGGGGCGGGUGGGGGGGAGUGGAUACACCGGAUACGAAUUUUGGAGCUAGAGUCAUUAGGAUUUAAGGAAGGAAGAUUCAGUUUGAGGGAUCCUGAGUUUGAGACGUUCGUGAGAUACGCAAAGGAAGAUACCAAAUGGGCCGGUGGAUGAAUGGGACCAAAGUUCUGGGCUGGACACGAAUUUAAGUGGCGCGAGUGUGCAGAGGUACUGGAAAGGACGAGGCAAGGCGAGCUCACCCGUGCAGGGUGUGGAGAGAGGACGGGGUCUGGAAUGAGUCCUGAAAAUGCAGUUUACUUAGUUGAAAGAACUCUAAGGAUCUUUCCAAUCCUUCUUGAGGAGAAGCAGGAAAGGAGGAGGAGGGACGGUGAAGGACCCUGACCGGGGAGUAAAGGAGAGCCAGGGCGGUGGGGUGUCACAGACUUUAAGAGGCAAGACAUGGGACAGGUCACUUCCCUGACCGCACCCCUCGCACUCAUCCCUUUUCUAGAUCCAUAUUCCACAAUCUGAAGUUGUUUUUUCUUGAGCAUGGGUUUACAAGGCCAGAGCCCUGGGCCACCUGGGUGGCUCAGCAGUUGAGCCUCUGCCUUCGGCUCAAGGCAUGACCCCGGGUCUGGGGAUCGAGCCCCCACACUGGGCUCACAGCGAGGAGCCUGCUUCUCCCUCUGCCUGUGUC
Canis lupus familiaris (dog) is the source of this 2389-nucleotide RNA transcript. It is a transcript of the gene named chromosome 11 C9orf152 homolog, with no coding region annotated. The record is from RefSeq and is a predicted model, not a curated record. NCBI's taxonomy places the organism in Eukaryota, Metazoa, Chordata, Mammalia, Carnivora, Canidae. The transcript has 3 exons.